AUUGAACGCUGGCGGCAUGCCUUACACAUGCAAGUCGAACGGUAACAGGUCUUCGGAUGCUGACGAGUGGCGAACGGGUGAGUAAUACAUCGGAACGUGCCCGAUCGUGGGGGAUAACGGAGCGAAAGCUUUGCUAAUACCGCAUACGAUCUACGGAUGAAAGCAGGGGACCGCAAGGCCUUGCGCGGACGGAGCGGCCGAUGGCAGAUUAGGUAAUUGGUGGGAUAAAAGCUUACCAAGCCGACGAUCUGUAGCUGGUCUGAGAGGACGACCAGCCACACUGGGACUGAGACACGGCCCAGACUCCUACGGGAGGCAGCAGUGGGGAAUUUUGGACAAUGGGCGAAAGCCUGAUCCAGCCAUGCCGCGUGCAGGAUGAAGGCCUUCGGGUUGUAAACUGCUUUUGUACGGAACGAAAAGACUCUUUCUAAUAAAGAGGGUCCAUGACGGUACCGUAAGAAUAAGCACCGGCUAACUACGUG
Molecule: ribosomal RNA, 482 nt
Filed under: uncultured bacterium
Lineage: Bacteria
Description: partial 16S ribosomal RNA
Rfam family: Bacterial small subunit ribosomal RNA
Source: RNAcentral